Long non-coding RNA from Arachis ipaensis, 2549 nucleotides. RefSeq lists it as uncharacterized. The record is from RefSeq and is a predicted model, not a curated record. NCBI's taxonomy places the organism in Eukaryota, Viridiplantae, Streptophyta, Magnoliopsida, Fabales, Fabaceae.
UCAAACACACACACACAAAAAACACACACAAACAUUCUCAAACGUUACUUUUCUGUUUUCUCCCAUCAAACCCAAAGAAGAGACGCUACCCCUGCAACCUAAUCGUUGAAGCACGAACGGCGGCUCCAGGCACACUAGCGGCUUCAGUUGGAGCGGCGACAACAUGUGUUCCCCGAAGGAGGCAACACGAUCGGGGAUAUGGACUAUUUUAACAUUAAGGUCCAUCAUAGAGGAACCUUCAAUAAUAAAGAGGGAGUCUGGCAGUAUUUAAAGGAUGAAAACACAAUGGUGGAUUGGACAAAUUGUGAUCAAUUGGGGACAAUGGAGGUUUAUGACAUGUUAGAGAAGUUAGGAUAUUUUGAAGACAACAUUGCUGUGUUGUGGUACAAAGAUUGUGGGUUGAGUAUAGACGAAGGGUUGAGACAGUUCAAGACUGAUGUAGAUGCAAUGGCCAUGGCGAAUGUUGGAGUUGAAAAGGGUGUUGCCGACUUGUUUGUGAUGCAUAAGACAUCAGAGCCUGAUGAUUUUCCCUAUGAGAUUAGUUAUUUAGAUGUUGGUGGUGGUAAAACUAAUGAAGUAAUGAUGUUGAUGUGGAAGUGGAGGCCCAAAAUGUGGACGUGGAGGCCUAAGUUCCUAAUAUAGUUGAGGUCCAAGUUGUUAAGGAUGUUGGUUUGGAUAAAAUUCAAAUACAUGGAGAAGAAGAAGCCCAUGCCAACAAUGUUGAUUCUUCAAGUGAGGAAGAUGAAGAAUAUGAGACACAGGAUGAUGAAGAUCUUUACUUCUAUGACAAUGAAGAUGACUUCUAUAGGGAUGAUGCUCUCUUUGAUGUUGACAUCACUUUGGAAUAACUGUAUCAAGAAAUUAAGAAAAAGAAAAGAAAAGAAAAGAAACAUUGAGUCAAAGAAGAAGAAAAAGGCUGGCGGGGUGCAAAGCAGUGGGCUUAGUGAGGAUGAGGGGCUGGAUAGUAAUGAAUUAGAAGAUUUGCCUCCUGAAGGGGACAAAGAAUACAAAACAUUUCCGGUGUAUAAUGAGUUGAAGGACAUGAGUGCUUAUGGGUGGGAGGUUAGAACAUUAUUUGCUACAAGAGAGGAAUUCAAGGAUGCGGUGACUACAUAUGUCGUGCAUAGUGGCAGAAAUGGUAAGUUUCCAGUUGUCGACAAGGGCUGAAUGAGAGCUAAAUGUAAGGAUGAAAUCUAAGUGGUUGGACAAGGUGUUUAAGAUGAAGGUUGAAGCGAAUCCAAGACUGAAUUUGAAGGAUUAAAGAAAGGGCACAAAACAAGUGGAACAUGUCAAGGUGCAAUUGUCAAACCCAAAAUCUUUAAGGGUAAAGAAGUUGGUGGACAUCAAUGACAGCUUUGAGGUACAAUGGCGGAGGCUAUAUUACCAUUGGCAUGAGCUCUUGAUGUCAAAUUCUGGAUCCUCAGUAAAUCUUCAAUUUCAACUACCUCCAGAGGCACUAACUAUUAACUAAAAGUCCUACCGUCCCAAGAGGGUUAAGCACGAAUGCUCUUGUAGAAAAUUUCAGUUAACUGGUUUUCCUUGUCCUCAUGCAGUUAGUGCCAUAAAUCGUGCCAGGAAUGAUGUUAGAAAUUACGUUGAUAACUGUUAUAAAAGAGAUGCAUAUGUUGCAUUUUACCAACAUGUAAUUAGUUCUUGCAAUGGAGAGCAAUUGUCGGAAAGAACUGAUCGAGCAUCCAGAUUUGAUGCCCUCAACAUAUAGAAAGCCUAUAGGCCGGCCUACCAAAAAGAAAACCCGGGGACAAGAUGAAGAGCCAAGUGGUUCAACUAUGUCUAGAGCUGGGGAAGCAACAAAAAUGCUCCGAAUGUGGUGUAAUUGGACAUAAUAAGAUGGGAUGUCCACAAAGACUUCCAAGUUUCUUCUCCUCUGCCUCUCGCCGGUGGUUUGUCGGACCUCUACCUCUUCGAGUCAUCACUUUGAUUCGAGACUGUGUCUCUUUGCCUUGUCCUCCCAUUUGCGAAUCUGUCUUCACUUUGAUUCGCCGGAGUAUCUCUCUUUUUUGGUUCUCUUCUUUCGUUGGUGGCUCGCCGGAGCUCAUCAAUUGAGAUUUUAAAAUCUGCCAGUAUUGAACUCUUCAUUUCAAUGGAUCCUGCUAAUGAGGUAGCCGAUCGUGAUGUUCCCAGAGUCUGCAGAGCAUUCGACUUCUACAUUACCUCCUCUCCCAACCACAUCAUCUGAAUGCAAAAAUCGAUCAACAGUUUGAGACCAUUUCAACAGAACCCCUAAUGAUGAAAAUAAGGCUCAAUGUCAACACUAUUUGAAAGUGAUUAAGUGCGGAAAUGGAACAAAAGCAAUGAGAUCACAUUUAAAUAUUUGCAUGAGCAAUCCCGGUUCAGAUAGAGGCAAAUGACGGAAAACAGGCACAUCGCCUAGCCCAGAAGCCAAGUGGGUAGGUUUGAUGCAGAAUAUGCUUGGGAAAUAUUGAUAUCAAUGUUUGUUCGCGAGGAGUUUCCUUUUCGAUCUGUAGAAAGUCAAUGUUUUAAAGAAUAUUCGGCAGCUUUGCAACCAGGAUUUAACGCUCUUUCACGUA